RNAcentral lists this ribosomal RNA (477 nucleotides) under uncultured bacterium. RNAcentral describes it as "partial 16S ribosomal RNA". It matches the Rfam family "Bacterial small subunit ribosomal RNA", at positions 28 to 507 of the family's 1533-position model. The record is from RNAcentral.
GAUUAACGCUGGCGGCGUGCAUAACACAUGCAAGUCGAACGAUGAAACUUAACUGAUUUCUUCGGAAUGAUUUUAAGUGGCGUAGUGGUGGACGGGGGAGUAACUCGUGAGUAACCUGCCUUGGAGAAGGGGAUAGCCUUCGGAAACGAAGAAUAAUACCCUAUGAUAUGAUAAUAUCUCAUGAUAUUAUCAUCAAAGAUGUAUUGCUCUAAGAUGGACUUGCGUCUGAUUAGUUAGUUGGAGAGGUAACAGCUCACCAAGGCAGCGAUCAGUAGCCGGCUUGGGAGAGUGUACGGCCACAUUGGGACUGAGACCCGGCCCAGACUCCUACGAGAGGCAGCAGUGGGGACUUAUGCACACUGGGGGAAACCCUGAUGCAGCGGCGCCGCGUGAUUUAGAAAGCCUUCGGGUUGUAAAAUGCCUUUGUAUGGGAAGAAAAUGACAGUACCAUACGAAUAAGGACCGGCUAAUUACGUG